Molecule: ribosomal RNA, 158 nt
Filed under: Passalurus ambiguus
Lineage: Eukaryota; Metazoa; Nematoda; Chromadorea; Rhabditida; Oxyuridae
Description: 5.8S ribosomal RNA
Rfam family: 5.8S ribosomal RNA
About the family: 5.8S ribosomal RNA (5.8S rRNA) is a component of the large subunit of the eukaryotic ribosome. It is transcribed by RNA polymerase I as part of the 45S precursor that also contains 18S and 28S rRNA. Functionally, it is thought that 5.8S rRNA may be involved in ribosome translocation.
Source: RNAcentral
ACUUUCAACAACGGAUCUCUUGGUUCUCGCAUCGAUGAAGAACGCAGCGAACUGCGAUACGUAAUGCGAAUUGCAGCUUCCGUGAAGCAUCGAAUCUUUGAACGCACAUUGCGCCCCCCGGUAUUCCAGGGGGCAUGCCUGUCUGAGCGUCGUUUCCU